Cricetulus griseus (Chinese hamster) is the source of this 14431-nucleotide non-coding RNA. The record is from RefSeq and is a predicted model, not a curated record. NCBI's taxonomy places the organism in Eukaryota, Metazoa, Chordata, Mammalia, Rodentia, Cricetidae.
CAGUGGCAACCCCCGAAUCCUGAAAGAACUUCUCAUUCUGUACUAUUUUCUUGGGCUGUCCUCCUCAUCCUAGUAGGAUAGCUUAAUACUGCUGACCCCACCCCAUCCAGAGCAAAGACUCAAGAGUGGAAGUAAAAUUGUCCCAGCUUGUGGAAACUGUUAUGCAGACUGGUGGUACCCUGGAGUGCUUGGAAUCAAAUGCCUGAGAGCCUGACCUUGCCCCUGGGCCUCCAUGCACAGUGGUGCAAAUUUCCCAUUCUCUGCAUGUACCGAGAAGAUUCGUGGAAUAGUCCCUGUGGAUACUUCUAGCUGUGGCUAAGAUUCUUAAUCCAGUGCCUUGGACCACUCUGCCACGCUACUCAGCUACAGCUAAGAUUUUUUACACCACAAAGACAACAAAAAUCAGAGUCAGCAAAUGGAAAUGGUGCUUGGGGCAAAAUCUGCAGGGGAGGAGGCCAAAUUUCCAGGAGUCAUUUCCCAGUGGGGGCCCUCAAGAUGGGCCCAUUUCUCUGGCAAUGAGUGAGGACAGCAGGUAGGAAAGGGGGAAUUAUCAGGGGUACUCCCCCAGAGAUGUUUGCCCAGGGGUUUCACUGUGGGCCUAGGACACAAUAAGAUUCCAGACUUAAGAGCCCUUUCUGUCCUUCUUUGGGUACUAUGAAAGCAGGUGUUCAGUCCGAACCAAUCCUUGUGUCAUUAGACAGACCACAUUGUUUGUCCCACUUUAGAAAUGUGGGGGACACUCCAGUGGCAGAAGCUUCUUUGUGUUAACUUGGAGGGGUGUUGGAAAGAGAUGAACAUUUGAAUCAGUGGGUAUCUGUGGCUAUAAAUAACAUAGAGGAGCCCAUCUAGUGAACAAGAGGCCUGGAAGAAUAAUACCCAGCCUGCCUCCCUGAGCAAGAGUGAAAUCCUGAACAGACGCUUCUGGACUUCAAAUCAGCUCACCCGUGUUUCUUCCCACCAGCCCGUGGACUGGAACUGCACAUCAGCUCUUUUGAGUCUAAAGCCUGCCUAGCUACUCUGCAGAUUUUGGACUCACUAUCAGUGGCUUGUUAGUCAGUUUCGUACAAGACACUUUCUUCUCAUCCUACUGGUUCUGUUUCUCCAGAAACCUUGACCCCUCCCCAAACUAAAUUUUUCCAGAUACCAGCCAAGCCUCAACCUUGCAAGUAGAUUUUGCAAGAAUUGCAGAGCCCUUGAGAGAAGUCUCCCUCCACUGUGCCUUCCUGUUAACUCAUUUCUGCACAUUACUAACUUGCGUGCCAGAAGUCACAUGGUUGUUAAACCAUGGAGCAGUGGAGCUCACAAGCAAUCAUGGAGUUGAAGAAAAAGUACAUGGACAGAAGUUGACUGUUAGUGUAGGAAUGGUUGAGACAGCGGGCACAGAACCCGGGUCAGUGGCUUUCCUGGGGUAGGGGAACAUUCAAUGAGGACUCCAGAGUAAUGAGACUAAUUGUGGAGGACUGAAGAAGGCUAGAAACUCUUUGCCAUUCCUUACACGAAUAAGUAGAGUUGAUUUCCUGUAUUCCUAGAUCUGGAAUGGUAUGUAUUUACUGUCUCUAAUAGAAUGCAGUCAGUGUGGCAUUGUGGAAGUCCUGGAAAGGAGCUUUAAGCAGCCUGGCCCUUUUGUGUUUCUGUUCUUGGGACCCCUGAAUAGACAGGUGAUGAUGCCUGAGUACCUGCUGAAGAAACCAAGAGAAGGGGUGAGGGAGAACAGCCAGACACAAUAGGACCAGCUGUUCCAACUGAGGUGACACCCAGCUAAUUAAUGUCACUGUGCCUUAGCCAAAGUCAGCCUCAGAGGAAGCGUUGGAUAAAGACAGACUGUCAUAGCAUCACCCUGCAGGGUCCCACGGUGACCACGGAAUCAUGAACAAAUAAUACAAUGAGGUGGCUUGAAGCCAGUAACUGUGGGCAUCUGACUUCACAGCAAGAGAUAAGCAUUACAGAGUGGCAGCUGGGACAGUCGGAGCACAGUGGCUUCCUUGUAAUGAUGGAGCCCAGAGCAAAAAGCAGGAGCAAGACAUCUGAGCUGAGGCAGCAGGGCGGCUCGGAUCUUUUCCUGCCAGUUUUCCACUGUUUCACAACACUGACGUGUGUCACUUCACAGCAAAAACAAUCUGUACCCUUCUGAAUGAGGCACUACCCCGGAAUCUCUUCCAGACCUCAUCAGCCCUCAAACCACGGUCUGUGAGCAGCCGAGGGAGAUCCCAUACACAGUGAGUCAUGUUUAUCUUUGGAGUGCUGAACGCCUUGUGUGGAUCUUAGGUCACCGCUGACCCGUAGCCUGCAGCUUGUUUCUUCACCGGGAGCCAAAACACAGUGCAUAACCUCAUCUCCGGCAACAUUCUCAACAGGGCCCGAGUGUCUGUGCACGGGUGCCAAAUGUGCCUACAGUGAGUCCAGAAAUGUAAGAAUUGCCCACAGCCAGUCUGGCCGAUUUUCUGGACAGUACUGUUGAGGUACUUAAUUACAACACUUAAAUCUAAAUGUGCGUAUCCAGGCACUGGAUGCUCCAUUUAUAGCACAAGGGGAAUUCACCUAUCCAUUUAGCAACACAGCGGGGGAGGGGGGCUGGAGGGUGGGGGGGACACUUAGCCUGUCACAGACACAUUUAGAAGCCGUGCUUCCUGAACUCCGGGGAUUGCUUUUAUGUCUCUCACAAGAGAUAAGACAGGAUCAUAAGGGGAUCUGGUCAAGGCAACACAUGGGUAAAUGGCAUAACAGAGAAUACGGUGAGAGGAAAGUUCGGGGAUGGCGGACAUCACUUCUGGCCAAAGGAAAUAGAAACUUGAAAGAUUUCUUAGAAGUGUAAUCUAUCACCCUCAAACUCGGCAUUUAAAAGCCCCACACAGUUAUUAGCUAUAUGACCUUGUGCAAAUCAUAAAUUUUCGACGUCUUAGUUUGCUUAUCUUUUUAAAAGGAAGGGUUGGGCUAAGCGAUCUUAAAGGUUUUUCUGCUCUAAAGACCUGGGAUACAUGAGUUUUCAUGAGAAGACCCAGCUAAAUGUGUGACAAUCUAUUCUUCAUACAACCAGAGUGGCUUUUAAAACCCAAAUAAGAUAAUGUUUCCCAUGGCUUAAAACCCUUUCAUGGCAGCAUUUCAAAGAAAGCCCAAACUCUUGUGAUGCGCAGUUGCCUGUGCUCCCAGCAACUCUGACUCCCCCAUCCUCCCUCUGGCCUUCACCCAUUCACCCAGGGGCUUCUUUCCCUCUGUCUGAAUGUAGGAAUUGUAUUUUUCAGGGUAGCUGUGUUUCAAUUCUUGUUCCUCUGAACCCCUGCUUCCUCUGAGCUAGGCAGUCUGGGAGUGGAAAACAGUACCACCCAGGAAUCCUGGCAGGGUGAACCGUUGCAGGGAGAGCUGGCAAGGCGGAGUGUAGGCUUCUCCUUUGCUCUAUACUGACUUUCAGAUCCAUCUCUUGACUUCUCCCCACACUUCCAUCUCUGGCUUUCAGGGCUUUCAAUUGCUGAAGGUUUUUGGGGAGGCUUGACAAUGUGCCUUAGAUCCACUACUAAGUGCUCAGUGUUUUGCAUUGUGCUAGCCCACCCAACCUUGCACUUUUCAGCUUACAAAAAUGUCUUCACUCUUAGAGUCUACAAUCCUCUCCUCUCCUCUCCCCUCCCCUCUCCUCCUCUUCUCUCUUCUACUCUCAUUUCUUCUCCCCUUCUUUCCUCUCCUCUUCCCCUCUCCUUGGCCUUAUCUCCCUCUCCUUCUCCCUUCCCCCCCUCCUUGCCACUCAGUUCUCUCCUUUCCUCUCUCUUUUUUUGUCCCUCCCUUCUUUCCACCCAUUCUCUCUGUCUUUGUUUGUGCAAAGACAAGGAUUAAGGAAUGCCUCAUUUCUCCCGUGUUUAGAUGGAGUGCAUCUGGUUUCCUCUUAUGGUUGUUCCUCCUUGUUUAGGUAUUAGUUAAUGUAAGAGCUGGAUUCCAGUGCCUGUUCUGAGCCCCAGUAGGUCCCUCCUGGAACUGUUUAUUAAAGAGUCCUGCUGGCUUCUUUCUCAACAUUUGCUGUAAUAUUCAGCUAUGUUGUCAUUACUUAGCAAUUCAGUGAUUUUAAGUCUACCGCUCCCACUACAAUGCACUCACAGGGGAGGCAGGGGCCAUCCUUUUCCUCCCAUCAGUUAGUGCUAAGUGCUUAACACAGUACCUCAUUUUGGACAAAUGCUUGAGGAUUCCUCCUAAUGAAUGUUGGCACUCUCCAUUAACUGAGAUUUGCUGAGGGGAAAACGGGGUGAAAAGAGACAAAGAUCAGCAAAUCACACGAGGGAGAAGACUCAGGAACAUCAUCUUUGGUGUGCAAACUUUAGAAUAGGAGCUGUAAGACCUCUCAGAUGAAUUAUGUAACAGGGGACAGAGAUAAUGAUAUCCCAAAUGAAUUACAUAAGAGUGAGGGGCAGAGUUAACGAUUGUACAUUCACUCCUGAGGCUGCCGUACAAUUACAAUGAGUCCAUAUAGGUAGAGCUGUGGGAGCAGUGUCUGGCACGUAGUGUUGGAGUAGUUGGUUGGCGAUGGAAGCUGUAUAUCCAAGACCUGUUCAUUGCUUUAAGCCUCUGUGGUUAUUCAGGAAUAUUUAUUGCACCGAAUAACUAAUGCAAUGUACAACUGGUGGAAAUCUCACAAAGCAACCCAAAACCUCAUUUCCUUCCUCUCAUGGGUUGUCAAACCUGUUUACCAGAUUUCAAAGCUCUCUUUUGUUAUUCUGACUUUUUGUGUGUUUGUGUAUUGUUUGUUUGUUUGGCUACUACUACAGUCUGAAUCCAUCACAGCAAAUUUCAUAUGGAAACUCAGUCGCUAUUUUGUUACAAUUAAAACACAGAGCCUGCAAGAAAUCCUGGAUCACAGGGGUCAGCUCUCAGCUGGGAUUAGUGCUCCAUAAAUGACCCUGAUGGUAUCUGCUAGCCUCUCCAUUAUGAGGACAUAGCUUACAAGCUUCGUAUCAAACAUGACAUCUCUUUGUCCCUCCCUCACUCACCAAGAAGUCUACCACACCUGUGAGUACAUGGGAAGCACACAUUGAACUUGGUGGGCCAUAAGAGGCUGGGAAAAGGCUGGGGUGGAUCUGGAGGAGUUAGGGGAAUAGUGUAAAUGAAAAUGAUCAAAGUGCAUCACAUGUGUGUAUGAAAUUUUCAAAGGAUUAGCCAAAAUGUUAUAUUAAAUAAAAGAGCUCUACCACUAAGCUGUAUUCCACCUACAAACACCGAACAUUCUGAUGUCUUUUUCUGGCACCUCUGAGCCUCCAGAAAAGGGAGGACUAAAUCACUGCUUUUCAUAACUCAACUAAGCUGUGUGUGAGAGAGGGGUACACGUGUGUCAAGCUAUGGUUGUGAAGGGCUACACAGGCCAAGGUAUGGGCAUGGAGGUGUGUGUGGGAGGAGGGCUACACAUGUACCAGGGUAUGGUGAUGGGGGAUGUUCUUCUGUAUGCUGUGAAUAUACAAUAUACGUUUCUCUUAUUGGUUGUUGAAUAAAGCUGUUUUGGCCGAUGUACUGGCGGGAUGUAGUCAGGCAGGAAGAAUAGGCAGGGCUACCAGACUAGAAUUCUGAGAAGAGGAACAGAGAGAGUGAGUUGUGGGAGAGAUGCCAUGUAGCUGCCCAGAAAGAAAGAGGUCUGGACAUCACCAGUAAGCCAAGACCACAUGGAGAUACACAGAUUAAUAGAAAUGGGUUAAAAAUUAAGAGAGAGCUAGCCAAUAAGAAGCCUAAGCUAUAGGCCAAACAGUUUAUAAUUAAUAUAAGCCUCUGUGUAUAUAUUGGAGAUUAAACAGCUGCAGGGCUGGUCUACAUAUGGAUGAGGAGGUAUGGGGAGUACACAUGUACCAGGAGUACGGUUAUGCAGGCAUGGGGGGAGGGGUAACACAUGUGCCAGGGUAUGGAUGUGGAGGUCAGAGGACAAUUUAAAGACUUCGUUCUCUGCUUGCACUAUGUGGGUUCCAGGGAUUGAACACAGGUUAUCAGGAUUGGUGACAAGUGUCUAUACCUCCUUAGCUAUCUCACUGGUCCCCAGUUUGCUUCCAGAGAUGUCAUGUCCUUUUUCUUAGGCAGCAACUCGUGACAGUCAUCCCAUGAUAGCAAGGUUCCCUCUAAGACUCAUCAUCUCUUGCCUUGGACCACCACUGGCAACAUCAUGAGGCCAGGAAACACCUCUCUGCCUCUCAGGCUAGUCACAAGCUAAUCUCAGCUAAACAACAAAGCUUACCAAAGAAUUGAAUUAGUUAUUUCCAUAAAAGUGGAUCCUCUUUUAUACAUGCCCCAUCAUUAAUAGUUCAAAAUCCUCAGACUCUAGCUAAGCCAAAUGUCCUGAAUCCCAUGUAUUCUGGGGACAGAAUUAUAUUUCACUGUAGGGACAUUUUCCUUGACCUUCUGUUGCCAAAUACUUUACUCCAGAGUUUUCUGCUCCUUCCCUUCUUGUCCCUCUUUCCUCAUUCAUCUUACCUAAAACACACACAGGCACACACACACACACACACACACACACACACACACAGAGAGAGAGAGAGAGAGAGAGAGAGAGAGAGAGAGAGAGAGAGAGAGAAAGAGAGAGAGAGAUUCUGAUUAAGGCUAUUCUUGUUGCCAUGUAAGACUUGCUGGCCAAAUUGUGGUGAAAUUUAACAAUGUGGUGAGAACAAGAAAUUGUGGCGUCGGGGAUAAGUAGUGUCCUGGUGAUGCCAGGGGCUACUCGUCGAGCUGAAGGUGUGCUGAAAAUGGCAGACACUUCUUAAAAUGGCCCUUGGAAGAGCCAAUGGGAAUCCCAAGUAAAUGUCAGCCUUCUUGCUGACAGACAGGGAGGGGGAGUUGGGGAAGAGGGACUUCUAUUUUCCCAGUCAGGGUGAAUUUCCUCCAUUGUGAUAAGUGACCUCUUCUAUUUCCUAGCAAACUAGAUUAUAACCCUCCAAAAUGAAACACCUCGCCACUAAUACCUUCAUGAAAUGGGGUGGACAGCUGUUGUAUUUGCCUGUCUAGGCUGUAUCACUCUCUAGUCUGAUAACAGUCCGCUGGGAUCAUGGUGGGGGACAGCUCACUCCAUACUGGUGUCUAGGGCAGGCUCAAGACUCAAGCUGUGUCACCCCAGAAAGGAACACACUUGCCAAAAAAACUUUCUAAAAUGAAACUCAUUCACAUGCCUUGAUUCCAACCUCAGUAACCUGAAGAGGAUCCAGGCUGAACCUAGGCUCUCAUAGCUGCUCACACACCUGUACUGAGACCGGACUCUUAUGCCAUCAUUUUUAUUCUGGGAGCCAGUCCUAGACUUUUCUUUCUCUUUCCUUUUGAAAUCUUACAAUAUGGGUCUCUUGUGUCUUGUGUCUUCAGUCAAAUACCUCAAAGACCCAGUGGAAGAAGAGAUGGACCUGGGAUAUCACGAGAGGAAAUUUUGUAACCAUGCUCAUUCAUUAUUUGCUCUAUUGGGGAGUCUGUGGUGUUUCCCAAAAGUAUAUGUGCUAAAAAGGCAUAGUCCCAGCUUGGUUUUAUUGACAAAUGGCAGAACCUUUAGGAUAUUAGACCCAGGGAGAGGUCACUGGGGAUGCAUCUCUGCAGGGGACAGUGAGACUCUUGCCAUUCUUUGCUCCUUCUUUGCCUUUUCUACCUCAUCUGUACCAUAUGUUCAUACCACGAGAGUCUGUGCUGCCACUGGCCCAAAGCAGUGGGAUCAAGCAACUAUGAACCCUCUAAGUCUGCGAACCCAAAUAAAUGUGUCUUCUCAUAAGUAGAUUUAUUUCUAGUAUUUAUUGUGAUAGCAAAGAUUUGACAAAAACAAACAUGUACAGCAGGAAAGCCUGAUUCUCUCAUUUCUUGUUCAUGUUCAUUUCACCAUGAAGUCACAAAUUUCACGGUAACCCUCCUUCCCCCUACCAUAGCCAUCAUUUCUUUACUGAAUACAUUUUGAACACCUGCUGUAUGUCAGACUGUGAUUGUAAUGGCAAAAAUUCUGUUUUUGGUGAGGCUUGCAUUCCAAAAGGAAAAAGAGACAUUACUGAAGCAAACAAGUAGAUUAGCAAAGCAGCUGGACACAACAGUAUGAAAUAGGAGAGUGGCACAGAGUAACCACAGCCUUGUGGUUAGGGGAAACCUGCCUGAAGAGCAGACUUUCAAGACAUAGAUCAUUUUGGGGGAAGCAACCAUGUGAAACUGUGUGGGAAGGAAUGUUAUCUAGGCAAACAAAACAGCAAGGGAAAAGCCCCGACGUGGGGACAAGCAUGAUGUAUCACAACACAUGUGAGAGAAAGAUACAAAAUGGCCAAGGACAUUUGCAGGGGCCAAGUCAUGCUUGGGCUUCUAGACUUCACUAAGCUAAGAAGCUUGGAUUCAUCUUCAUUACUGGAAGACGAUCUGUCUCGGUGCCAUGUCUGGUGUUCUCCUGAUCGCUCUCUGCGGUCUGCCUGCAGCCAGCAAUCUGCUACAGCCGGCUGCUUUGUUCCGCCCAGGAGCCCUGUCAUCUCUCAAGGAAGGAGAAUCAUCAAUGGCAUCUCACUUCAACAAAUUAGCCACAGUGUUUACACUGCAGAAAGAUUUCGGUGGAGAAGCAUAGGACAAAUGCUACAAAUCUCUGACCAUAGUCACUCAUUCAGCAAAAUGCUGCUCACCGAUACUGAUUAUUGAGUAUUGUGAGGCACAAGAUGACCUCAAAAGACUGACACUCUCAGGGAGAGAGAUCAUCAAUCCUGUAAUAAAACAACACUCCAGAGUUCCCCCUGAGGAAACAACAAAAAAGUUAAAGUAAUCUGUGGAAUGCAGACAAAGAACUGCACACAGUUUUAUGGAGGAAUUAACGCAAGGAGGAAUCUGUUCUUCAAUAGCUGCAGUAAAAUGUGCCCUGUUCUGGUUUGGAACAAGCGGAAGCAUACGUGAAUUUCUGUCUUACACUGAAAGUUCCCUGUGACUCUAGUUUAAUGAUUUGCGACUGUUGCUGCUGCAACACUAACUGAGAAAUUUCCUAAGUGGAUGCAGACAAACUAAACUAAGGAGGAUCCAGUGUGCAUUGGAGACCCAGAGCUGUACCGGGGAUGGCUUUCCUCAGGGUGUGCUUCUGCAGCUCUUCUCAUGAUGGCUCCAUCAAGAAAGGGCUUCAUAGUCAGGUGGGCUACACACCUCAUCCAAUGAGUGAGCGUCUGAAUCCCAAGCCAAAGACCUAGACAGCAACAACAAAUAGAAAACUGUUGGUCUUAUUUGCUUGCCUCUAUAUUUUCCAAAGUUGAUUACCUUUGGAGCUCAGUUUCAUGAGAAACGUAUCAAUUUCUUAUGGACCAGUCUUGAAACACUGCUUAAAUAAUUUACACAACCUAUCUUCUCUUCUAUAAAUAAUUUAAUCAUUAACCAUAGCCAGACUCCUACAGCAUCCCACAGAGAAAGAGAACCUGGAUGGACAGCUCCAAACUCUUGGUUCCAGCUUAGGUCAGAUGAGGCCAUGGCUCUGCAUUUGAAUUCCUUAAACCACAACACAAAACUGAAUGUUACUACUCAUCAAAGCUCCUGACAGGACUGAGUAAAGGACAAGCAAAAGAUGUGAGGAUAAUGUAUUCAACAAUUUUUAAAGAUUAUAUAUUAAGAUUCUAUGUUCUAUAUAUGCCAUAGUCUAUAUGCACAGCAUAUAUACUAUUCCUUUAUCUAUUAUAUAUACUUAGGAUAUGUUACCCAGAAUCCUUUAAUGAUAUAUGUGUAUAUCUUAUAUAAAACAUACAGACACUUUCUUUUAUUAGUUGAGAUCUAGGUUACUGCAAUCCACCCUUACAUUUCAAUGCUUUAUGUAGCAAAUGGUCCAUUUCUCUCACAUACAUCCUCCAUUUCAGGUAUUGCUCUUCAGGUAAUUCUCUUGGGUGAUUUCCAGCUAGAUAGAAACUCAGGGAUCCAGGUUUUCCUAACAGGGAAAAGAAGAAUGUAUGGAGGACUCCACAAAAUUAUUUAAUACUGCAAGUACGCUCUCAUUUUAUGGGUUAGAGCAGCUAUGGAACUCCUUCUCAAGGCAAGGCGCCUUGGGAAAAUGGUAUUUCUCAGUCCCAUAAAGAAAUGGAGUCCGUAAACACAUAAUACAUAAGCACACAGUAUUGUCUUAGAGACAGAUAAAACUCCCAAAUAGUCUAUGAGCCUCUCUGAGACGUGGUGCUUGGUAGGUGCAAAUGCUCACAAGGAAGCAGUUGGUAUGGGUUUGUUUUCUUCUCUGACCACAUCCUUUGUUAACAUUUAGGACAAAGACCUUCUAAAGUCACGUGAACGAUUUCAGAGAAAACUGGAAAACACUCUCAUGGAAAUGCAGUCUGGAGAGAGACAGAGAGAGACAGAGAGAGAGAGAGAGAGAGAGACAGAGACAGAGACAGAGAGAGACAGAGAGAGAGACAGAGAGACAGAGAGAGACAGAGAGAGAGAAUAAGACCCUACACAAACACAGCUAAGCACCAACCAUAGACUCUGCCAACUAUUCCAAACUAAUUGCUGCUGUGCACAGGCAACAUAAAUCUAUUUUCAAUUGUAGAUGGGGUUUCUUUCCUGCCUGGUCCCGCUGCCAUUUAAACAAGCAGGAAAGAAACCCUGUCCACAGGCAGUGGGAAAAGCUGAAAGGGUGACAUGGGUUGGAUAUGUGAACUAAUUGGAGCCAGAAGGAAAAUAUUGGGGAGCAGAAAUCUUUAUACAGUAUUUUUCAUCAGACUGUAAUCUUCCUAGCUACAAAAUUACAUAUAUAGGAAAGGCAGAAAAACACAAAACAAAGUGAAAACCACUAUUAAUCCCAGUUCCCAUCCACACUACACAAAAUCCUCACUGUUUAAAUGAUUAUUAUCUACUGUUCUUAUAGAUGAACUCAACUUUUCAUAGCAUAUAUUUCCCCCUAAAUACCACACUCACUCUGCAGGUUUUGUGGCUCAUUUUUAUAAAGCUCACAAUAUCGUCUGGAUGUUUCAUAAUAUUAUUAUGGAUGGCUACAUAGUCAACAAUGGUUGAGCAUGACUGUUUCUAGCUUUUUUUUCUCAUGAAAAAAAUUGGCAUAUUGAGCAUCUCUCUGUGCCCAUUUUCUACAGAUAUCUGAUCAUUUGUAUUCUAAGAGAUUUGUGAUAAUGUUGACUAACACUUAAUGAAGUUUAUAGUGUGCUUAAUUUUGAAGUAAGUUUCUUACUUUCUGCAUCUAAGUCAGUCUUUCAAACAAGUGUCUGCUGGUCAUAUUAACAGUGUAUCCAUGCUCUACGUAAGGAAACAAUGUCUGAGAAAAGGUAAAUCCUUUGCCUGUUAUGAUACAGCUACUUAAUGGAAGAAACCGGAUUUGAACCCAGAGUGACUGACUUCAGCAUCCAAGAUCCUCCAUUUCCUACUCUACCCUGGAGAGCACUUAAAUUCUCACUAGCAGAUUAACCUUCAUGGAGAGUUGACAGAGUAAUGGAUAUGGCUUGAGAAGGGGUAUGUAUAAUCAAGAGGAACUGCUUAUAUGAUGGCUAAGAGAAGAAGAGAAGGUAAAGUUUUAUGAGGGACAGUAACUUUUGCCGGUUGAAGUAAAAACAAAAAACUAUGAGUUAAUAUAUCCAGAGAGGCAAAGUCAUUUCAAAGGACAAUCUCCAAGCCAAAGUUCAGGACUGUUUAAAAAUUAUUGAAAGGGACAAUGGGAGUGCCUGUCCAGUUGAACAAAGAGGAGCGAUGUCAAAACAGUACUUGAUAAAGACAUACUCUGAGUCGGUCUUUGAUUUAAGAAAGUGGCCUUUGGCUUGUGGAAUGAGAUAAAAUCCAAGUUUCUGAGGCCUUUUAGGAGACCCUUUGUCAUAAUUUUCCUCCAGUCUGACAACUUCUCUGUGGGGAUGCACUUUCUUCACAGUAGCUGGAGAAUCUGAAGGGAGCCAGAAGUCAGGGCCUUAGAUCCUGUUUUCACUUCCAGCCUCCACUCACAACCACUUCCCAGAAGGCCUUGCAAGUCCCUGAUGGAAUCAGGGAGGGAAGAUUGAUGGCAAGAGGCAGAAAAGUCAACUAUAGAAAUGUUAGGACAGGGUGGAAGAUGAGAAUUAUGAGUUUAUAUUCUGUGUUCAGACGACCUAGGUUCAAAUGCAGGUGACUGUUGACUAACAACAUGACUAGGGCGAGAUGACUAUCCUCACUGUACCUCAGUUUCCUUAAUUGUAAAAUAUGAUAGUAAUAAUAAUACCUACUCUGCAGAUCACUGUGAAGAUCAAAUGAGGAGAUCAAAGUCACAGAUGCGGGCUACCAUCCCCACAAGGUAAAGCCUGAUGGCUUGACAGUUCAUGCCCAUUGUCCCAGCUCUAGGACACCAUAGGCCAUCAUAGAUAUGUAUGAAUUUAAACAUGAGUUUAGGUCCUGUUAAACCCUUGUUCCUAUGGAACAGACACACAUUAAUUGAAAAUCCUAAAUAUGCUUAUUUACAAACAGCUUACACUCUAAUGCAGAGAUUCUCAACCUGUGGGUCAAGAUGUGUCCUUUUCACGGGGGUGACAUAUCAGAUAUCCUUAGUAUCAGAUGUUUACAUUACAAUUCAUAACAGUAGAAAAUUAUAGUUAUGAAGUAGCAAUAAAAGUAAUUUUACAGUUGGGGAUCACCAUAGCGUGAGGAACUGUGUUGAAGGACAGCAUCAGGAAGGUUGAGAACCACUGUGCUAAUGCUUUCUUUUCCCUUCUGAACUUUCUGGAAACCAGCUGCACUCUUCUAUGUGCACAGAGAACUCUUGGACCCAUGUCCCCUUUUACCUCCUCUCCGUCAGACCUUACUCCCCUCAUCUCUGCUUGCAGAUUAGGCAAUUUCUGUGUGCACAGAUGUACAAGGAUCUCAGCUCUACCAUCUCUCCUGUCCCAUUCCCCUGAUGGUAGCGGAAGCUGCAUCAGGACCAGGGACCUUAGCCAUACUGGUUAGAGGAAAUGUAAAUAUACUAGAGACUUGGUAUUGCUCCCAAGUUGGCAAAGUACCUAGAAGUCUCCUACUGAAAGGACAUAAAGACCCCCACCUACUGUCUCAAAUAUCUCUAACUGAAGCUUGUUCUCUUAGACGUUAGCAUUUCUAAUGCUCUCUAAACCUGAUGAUUUGUUUGAGGUCAACUAAUGGACCAAUCUUACAAUUAAAGCAAUAAUUAUAAGAUACACAGCUGCUUGCUGUACUGAGAAUUAAAUGGGAUGGAAGGGAUAUCUGGGAACUAACUACUAUGGAAGAAAUUAUGUCGAUGGGGAAAUGCACUCCAAAUUCCAGAUAACUCAUUCACUCACUGACUUUUGGAAUAUAAUGCUUUAAUAGGUUAAAAAGACUGACUAAAAAUAUUAAGUCUCUUAAUGAAAUUUUUAUUCAUGUAAUUCUUUGGAUUUUUAUCUUAAGAGAUUGAAGCAAUUCUAGUCUCCUCCACAAGAAUUGUUUCCCUGGUAUGGGAGACAUAAUUAAAAGAGGACUUUGGAUUUUCUGAGAUGAUAGGUAGGACCCAACUAUUUUAAUUAGUUUAAUGGAUGUAAGACCAAUUGUUUUAAGGCAGUAGACAAAAUGAUUCAUGUUAUUGGCAGGUUUGUCCACUUGAUUUCCCAAGGGUCAAUCAUUUCAGCUCACACGAAAGAUGCAUCUAUUGUAGGUGAGAACAUUUGAGAAAUAUUUUGGAAUCAUUUCAAAAUCACAUUCUACAUGUGGAAGUAACAGGAACCCAUCUAAAGCCUUUUUUAUUACCUCUACAAUACUAAUGAGUUCCCGCUCACAAGGAGACAUGACAUUUAUAUCCUUUCAAGUUUUCCUUCCUUUUGGGCAGCUUUAAAACAAAAACGGACUAUUUUUCCUUCAUCAUUAUAAACUGGGCAUCUGGUGAGAUUUUUAAGCAAACGAGUGAGAGUUAGCCAGGCUGUGGUGGUGCACGCCUUUAAUCCCAGCAGUUGGAAGGCAGAGGCAGGUGUAUCUCUAUGAGUUUGAGGCCAGCCUGAUCUAAAGGGUGAGUUCCAGGACAGCCAUGGUUACACCAAGAACCACUGCCUCAAAUAACAACAACAACAACAACAAAGCUGAGAAAAAUACAUUUAUGAAGGACCUUUUUGUCUGUGAUUUAAACUCAAGCAGAAAAGCUGCCUCCUGCAAGUGGGCAGGGUGUGGGCCUGGCCAGAAGACUGGAUUUUGGCUCUGCUGCCUGGGGCUUUGAUGAAGUCACUCACGGGUGAGCCCCAUUAUCUCCAUCUGAACAAAUGAGGUUUGGCAUCGGUGCCUGUGAGCUCCUUCCCGACCCUCUGUUUUGUUUUUGUGGUUGGAAAUAAUGCAGGGAUUUUGGGGAUGCAAUCUUCCCAAAUCCAGGCUUUCCACUCUGUCACUUCAGGGGAAGCAAGGGGCUGCCAACAUCACUUUUGCUUUCAGUUCCUAUCAACACGAACUGUGCUUAAACAACCAGUAAGUUAGGCCUCUCUGAACAGCAAUUGGUUUGUUCCAAAAAUUAGCUUAAUUUCCCUUUCCUUCCCCCCCCCUUUUUCUUUUCCUCUCCUUCCUUCCUUCCUUUCACGUCUUAAAG